Molecule: non-coding RNA, 188 nt
Organism: Oryza glumipatula
Lineage: Eukaryota; Viridiplantae; Streptophyta; Magnoliopsida; Poales; Poaceae
Source: Rfam
UUUAAGCACAUCUAUGAGUUUCCGUGUCCAACUUUGAUCAUCUGUCUUAUUUGAUUUUUUAUUAGUAUUUUUAUUGCUAUUAGAUGAUAAAAUAUGAUUAGUACUUUAUGCGUGACUUAAGUUUUUUAAAUUUUUCAAAUAAGAUAGACAAUAAAAGUUUGACAUAGAAACUCAUGUCUUUGCUUAAA